Molecule: ribosomal RNA, 538 nt
Filed under: uncultured bacterium
Lineage: Bacteria
Description: partial 16S ribosomal RNA
Rfam family: Bacterial small subunit ribosomal RNA
Source: RNAcentral
GACGAACGCUGGCGGUGUGCCUAAUACAUGCAAGUCGUACGCAUUCUCGUUUCUGAUUGACGGUGCUUGCACCUAAUUGACGAGACAUUGGAAUGAGUGGCGGACGGGUGAGUAACACGUGGGUAACCUGCCCAGAAGUGGGGGAUAACAUUUGGAAACAGAUGCUAAUACCGCAUAAAAGUCUAAACCACAUGGUUUUGAUUUAAAAGAUGGCCUUUGUGCUAUCACUUCUGGAUGGACCCGCGGCGUAUUAGCUAGUUGGUAAGGUAACGGCUUACCAAGGCAAUGAUACGUAGCCGAACUGAGAGGUUGAUCGGCCACAAUGGGACUGAGACACGGCCCAUACUCCUACGGGAGGCAGCAGUAGGGAAUCUUCCACAAUGGGCGCAAGCCUGAUGAGCAACACCGCGUGAGUGAAGAAGGGUUUCGGCUCGUAAAACUCUGUUGUUAAAGAAGAACGUAUCUAAGAGAACUGCUUAGGUAGUGACGGUAUUUAACCAGAAAGCCACGGCUAACUACGUGCCAGCAGCCGCCGUAA